This is a long non-coding RNA of Pogoniulus pusillus (Red-fronted tinkerbird), 1337 nucleotides long. RefSeq lists it as uncharacterized. The transcript has 4 exons. The record is from RefSeq and is a predicted model, not a curated record. NCBI's taxonomy places the organism in Eukaryota, Metazoa, Chordata, Aves, Piciformes, Lybiidae.
AGCUCAGACGUGUUUGCUUACCAAUUGCCUGUGUUGUGCUCUUGCCACAGGCUACCAUUCCUGUGCUGAUACAGAGAUCUGUGUCCUGCAGUCCUACCAGUCCAGCAGCCCAAACUUUAAGAUGGUGUGAUGUCAUUAGCCUGAUAAGGAACAUUAAAAUUGCUAUGGCUUCUAAGGAAAAUGUGCUCAGACUUCAUAAAAGCAUGUUGAAGAUAGCACAAGACACCUGACGCGUGGUGCUAAGCCCGUUAGCCCUCAGGGCUUUGCUGGGGCCAAACCUUUAUUGUUUGCUCAUCUGACUCACUCCGGGACCCACAGCAGGAGGAAGACAGCAAGGGUUAAACCAUCCUCACAGGAUUUAUGCCCUACCAGGACACCUCCUCUUAAUUUGCUAUACAGAUCUCGUACUCACUGCUCUGAAAACUGACUUAGAUUUUGAAGAGUGAUAAUAACCUCCAGGCAUAUACUGAGAAGUGUUACUUUUGGUAUGUACUGGGAGCAGAGCAGCUGGAAAGAGCAGGGGAGAGGAAGGCAUGGGGGUCUUGGCGGACCAAGCUGAACGUGAACCAGAACUGUAUGCUUGUGGCAAAGAAGGCUCAUGGUAUCCUGCAUUAGGAAGAGUGUUUUCAGGAGGUGGAGGGAGGUGACCGAUCCUUCCGUUCUACUCAGCAGUGUGAGACCACACCAUGGCCUGCUGUGUCAGUUCUGGGAUCCUCAAUGCAUGGGAGUCAGGAGCUACUGAAGAGAGUGCAAUGAAGAUGGUAAGGAGACUUAAAGUAGCUCUCCUAUGAGAAGAGAUGACUCAGGGGAUCUAACAAAUCUGUGAAAAUACUUGAAAGCAGGCUGUAAAGAAAAUGCAUCCAGGCCAUUUGUAUCCAGAAAUAUGAAGACCAAAGCCAUGCAAAAGAGGAAAAGUGCUCAAGAAUCUCCAGGUCCUGCUUAUCACUGUAACUGGUCCUGCUCUGGAGAUUAGUACUUGGCAAUCAUCAGUGUCCUUAGCAGUUAGGGCACAUACAUCAUGGAGACAGAAAGAGAGCAAACAAAUGUUAAAAUACAUGUUCCUGUAGCUGUGCACCACAUUUAUCUCUGCAAAGAAGCAAACAAACCCCAGGACCUCACCAAGAUGAUUUAUAACAGUAAGAAUGUUGAGACUGGGGAUCAGAAGAAAUGUUCCUAAUAAAGCAGGCUUUAUAAUUCUCUGAUUCACUUGCACAUAAGGGAGAAAGUAUGGCAGAGGGUUGUGGGGAGGCUGUGUUUUAUUACCUUAAAUAAAUAUUCUUUCCCCCUCAGAGAUUUUUGUGGGCAGAAGUCUUGUUGCUGAUAAUAUGCAAUAGUUC